CUAACAAAACAGUACAUAGACAAGUUUUGUGUUUCGUUGCCUUUCUUUGUACCCACAGUUAUUAUAGUUGCGGGGACUACGUGGGCGGAAUAUUGUCUAAGUUCAGCGGGUUGAUAUUUGUUUGCUCGAGUAUGAGAUGAGAGCGCCGAAAUUAAUUUUGUGGAUUGAAUUUGAUGUUGAUUAAAUAACGUGGAUCGUUCUUAUAUUACUGACGAGGAUUUAGUGAAUUUUAUGAGAGACUUUAUGUGCUGCAAAACUAGAUUAAUGACUAAAUUACUAACAUCUCUACAAAUUUUGAAAUGUGCUUAUUGUUAAAGUGAUAGGAACAGAAUUAUAACUAUAAUUUGCUAAAGAUACGCAUAACGGUUAAAAUUUUGCCAGCCAGCCAGCAUUUGAUUAAAUGAAGAUUCUGAGGAUCGGGUAACUGCCGCUGCUGUUGUACGGGCACCUCGGUCCGAGUUUAUGACCGCCCUACAAUAUUGUGCGUGGAAACUUAAUGAAAAGGAAACACCGACAGAAUUACAUACGGUAGAAAAAAUACACGACGUCGACCACGAUACGUUUAUAAUAUGGCUAAAUAAUUGUGAGUUAUGCUCAAGGCCGACAUUUCCAUUCAAGUUCUUUACCACGGUCGUAUAUGCCGACAGAGUGAAAUAUAUAUCUUCCAAAUGGCCUUUACAGAUUACUAUGUUUAAUUAUUAUUUUGACUAACUUAUUAUGUUUUAUCUGUAUCAAAUGUAUGGUAUGAGUAUCAUAGAAUCGUAUAUAGUUGAUUCAAAAUUUAACCUUCCGAUAGUGAUUCGAUUCGGCAAAAUUUUAGUUUGCAUCUCAAUUAUCCUUGCCGAGUGCGAUUCCAAUUAUAGAAGUAACAUGUAAAGGACUUACUAUCAGAACCCCUAUUGGAGGGUAAAAUUUUUCUAUCCAAUAGUUAGGAUACUUGAAUGUUCGAAAAUAUCAUUAAAUAUUAAUGUUAAAUCUUUAUACAUUUAAUUUGCAACAUUUUCUUCCAAGUAUUAUUGGCUUUAACUACUGUUGCUAUCUUCCAUUAACAUUGAUCUAAGUUUAAUAUACCUAGAAUUUAAAAAUAAUAAAACUUAAUAAAAUACAUACAUCAGAA
This is a long non-coding RNA of Galleria mellonella (greater wax moth), 1117 nucleotides long. RefSeq lists it as uncharacterized. The transcript has 3 exons. NCBI's taxonomy places the organism in Eukaryota, Metazoa, Arthropoda, Insecta, Lepidoptera, Pyralidae. The record is from RefSeq and is a predicted model, not a curated record.